RNAcentral lists this transfer RNA (74 nucleotides) under Lactococcus lactis subsp. lactis. RNAcentral describes it as "tRNA-OTHER". It matches the Rfam family "tRNA". Rfam says of the family: Transfer RNA (tRNA) molecules are approximately 80 nucleotides in length. Their secondary structure includes four short double-helical elements and three loops (D, anti-codon, and T loops). Further hydrogen bonds mediate the characteristic L-shaped molecular structure. tRNAs have two regions of fundamental functional importance: the anti-codon, which is responsible for specific mRNA codon recognition, and the 3' end, to which the tRNAs corresponding amino acid is attached (by aminoacyl-tRNA synthetases). tRNAs cope with the degeneracy of the genetic code in two manners: having more than one tRNA (with a specific anti-codon) for a particular amino acid; and 'wobble' base-pairing, i.e. permitting non-standard base-pairing at the 3rd anti-codon position. The record is from RNAcentral. Lineage: Bacteria; Bacillati; Bacillota; Bacilli; Lactobacillales; Streptococcaceae.
UGGUUCUUUAGCCCAAAGGUGGGGUACUGCUCUUUAAAGGCAGAGGGUGCUGGUUCGAGUCCAGCAAGAACCAU